UACGGAGGGUGCAAGCGUUAUCCGGAUUCACUGGGUUUAAAGGGUGCGUAGGUGGGCUUGUAAGUCAGUGGUGAAAUCUCUGGGCUUAACUCAGAAACUGCCAUUGAUACUAUAGGUCUUGAAUUAUCUGGAGGUCAGCGGAAUAUGUCAUGUAGCGGUGAAAUGCUUAGAUAUGACAUAGAACACCAAUUGCGAAGGCAGCUGGCUACAGGUAUAUUGACACUGAGGCACGAAAGCGUGGGGAUCAAACAGGAUUAGAAACCCCCGUAGUCC
This 273-nucleotide ribosomal RNA is filed under the name uncultured bacterium. RNAcentral describes it as "partial 16S ribosomal RNA". It matches the Rfam family "Bacterial small subunit ribosomal RNA", at positions 524 to 796 of the family's 1533-position model. The record is from RNAcentral.